AUUGAACGCUGGCGGCAUGCUUUACACAUGCAAGUCGAACGGUAACAGGUCUUCGGAUGCUGACGAGUGGCGAACGGGUGAGUAAUACAUCGGAACGUGCCUAGUAGUGGGGGAUAACUACUCGAAAGAGUAGCUAAUACCGCAUGAGAUCUACGGAUGAAAGCAGGGGACCUUCGGGCCUUGUGCUACUAGAGCGGCUGAUGGCAGAUUAGGUGGUUGGUGGGGUAAAGGCUUACCAAGCCUGCGAUCUGUAGCUGGUCUGAGAGGACGACCAGCCACACUGGGACUGAGACACGGCCCAGACUCCUACGGGAGGCAGCAGUGGGGAAUUUUGGACAAUGGGCGAAAGCCUGAUCCAGCAAUGCCGCGUGCGGGAUGAAGGCCCUCGGGUUGUAAACUGCUUUUGUACGGAACGAAAAGCCUGGGGCUAAUAUCCUCGGGUCAUGACGGUACCGUAAGAAUAAGCACCGGCUAACUACGUGCCAGCCGCCGCCGUAA
RNAcentral lists this ribosomal RNA (498 nucleotides) under uncultured bacterium. Its description in RNAcentral is "partial 16S ribosomal RNA". It matches the Rfam family "Bacterial small subunit ribosomal RNA", at positions 30 to 523 of the family's 1533-position model. The record is from RNAcentral.